Molecule: unclassified non-coding RNA, 325 nt
Filed under: Hevea brasiliensis (rubber tree)
Lineage: Eukaryota; Viridiplantae; Streptophyta; Magnoliopsida; Malpighiales; Euphorbiaceae
Source: RNAcentral
GCCAUAGCUUACUCAAUGAUUGGAUGCUGAGGGUACUAAUUAACCUAGAUGGUAGCUUGCUAGAUUUGAUAAUGAUGAAACUACCCUCACAAUAUUGAUCUUGAUAAUUGUCUGGCAGUAUACUUGUUUUAUACCAAAUAUUAUUUAUUAAAUCCUUGUUAGAUUCUUAUGUUGUGAUGAUCAUGAUGAAAUUAUCCUCACAGUAUUGAUCUUUAUAAUUGUCUGGCAGUAUACUUGUUUUAUACCAAAUAUUAUUUAUUAAAUCCUUGUUAGAUUCUUAUGUUGUGAUGAUCAUGAUGAAAUUAUCCUCACAGUAUUGAUCUUU